Molecule: ribosomal RNA, 327 nt
Filed under: uncultured eukaryote
Lineage: Eukaryota
Description: partial 18S ribosomal RNA
Rfam family: Eukaryotic small subunit ribosomal RNA
Source: RNAcentral
CCCCUAGAUGUUCUGGGCCGCACGCGCGCUACACUGAACAGUUCAACAAGUCUUAACCUUGGCCGAUAGGUCUGGGUAAUCUUUGAACGCUGUUCGUGAUUGGGAUAGACCUUUGCAAUUAUGGGUCUUCAACGAGGAAUUCCUAGUAAACGCAAGUCAUCAGCUUGCAUUGAUUACGUCCCUGCCCUUUGUACACACCGCCCGUCGCUCCUACCGAUUGAAUGGUCCGGUGAAGCGCUCGGACCGCGGCCUCUUGACGGGUCUCCGUCGAUUGGCUGUGGGAAGUUCGUUAAACCUUAUCAUUUAGAGGAAGGAGAAGUCGUAACA